GAAAUCUGGCCCUCGGGUCCGAGGUGUAAUUUGUAGAGGAUGCUUUUGGUGCGGUGCCUUCCGAGUUCCCUGGAACGGGACGCCUUAGAGGGUGAGAGCCCGGUACGGUUGGACGCCUAGCCUCUGUAAAGCUCCUUCGACGAGUCGAGUAGUUUGGGAAUGCUGCUCUAAAUGGGAGGUAUAUUUCUUCUAAAGCUAAAUACUGGCCAGAGACCGAUAGCGCACAAGUAGAGUGAUCGAAAGAUGAAAAGCACUUUGAAAAGAGGGUUAAAUAGCACGUGAAAUUGUUGAAAGGGAAGCGUUUAUCACCAGACUUUUUCUAGGGGGAUCAUCCGGUGUUCUCACCGGUGCACUUCCCCUAGUUGAGGCCAGCAUCGGUUUUCGGAGGGGGAUAAAAGUUUCGGGAAUGUGACUCCCCCGGGAGUGUUAUAGCCCGUUACAUAAUACCCUUCUGGGGACCGAGGUUCGCGCAUCUGCAAGGAUGCUGGCAUAAUGGUGAUCAACGACCCGUCUUGAAACACGGACCAAGGAGUCGAACAUUUAUGCGAGUGUUUGGGUGUCAAACCCUCACGCGUAAUGAAAGUGAACGGAGGUGAGAGCCCUUACGGGUGCAUCAUCGACCGAUCCUGAUGUCUUCGGAUGGAUUUGAGUAAGAGCAUAACUGUUCGGACCCGAAAGAUGGUGAACUAUGCGUGGAUAGGGUGAAGCCAGGAGAAAUCCUGGUGGAGGCUCGCAGCGGUUCUGACGUGCAAAU
RNAcentral lists this ribosomal RNA (754 nucleotides) under Nigrospora sp. KH00292. Its description in RNAcentral is "eukaryotic LSU rRNA". It matches the Rfam family "Eukaryotic large subunit ribosomal RNA", at positions 117 to 898 of the family's 3401-position model. The record is from RNAcentral. Lineage: Eukaryota; Fungi; Ascomycota; Sordariomycetes; Amphisphaeriales; Apiosporaceae.